This 443-nucleotide ribosomal RNA is filed under the name uncultured bacterium. RNAcentral's name for it is "partial 16S ribosomal RNA". It matches the Rfam family "Bacterial small subunit ribosomal RNA", at positions 338 to 795 of the family's 1533-position model. The record is from RNAcentral.
CCUACGGGAGGCAGCAGUGGGGAAUAUUGGGCAAUGGGCGCAAGCCUGACCCAGCAACGCCGCGUGAAGGAAGAAGGUUUUCGGGUUGUAAACUUCUUUUGUCAGAGACGAAGCAAGUGACGGUACCUGACGAAUAAGCCACGGCUAACUACGCGCCAGCAGCCGCGGUAAUACGUAGGUGGCAAGCGUUAUCCGGAUUUACUGGGUGUAAAGGGCGUGUAGGCGGGACUGCAAGUCAGAUGUGAAAACCACGGGCUCAACCUGUGGCCUGCAUUUGAAACUGUAGUUCUUGAGUGCUGGAGAGGCAGACGGAAUUCCUGGUGUAGCGGUAAAAUGCGUAGAUAUUAAGAGGAACACCAGUGGCGAAGGCGAUCUGCUGGAAAGCAACUGACGCUGAGGCGCGAAAGCGUGGGGAGCAAACAGGAUUAGAUACCCGGGUAGUC